AUACGAAGGUCCCAAGCGUUAUUCGGAAUCACUGGGCGUAAAGAGUACGUAGGCGGUUUGGUAAGUCAGGUGUGAAAUCCCGGAGCUCAACUCCGGAACUGCAUCCGAUACUGCCAGACUAGAGUAAUGGAGAGGCAGGUGGAAUUCUCGGUGUAGCAGUGAAAUGCGUGGAUAUCGAGAGGAAGACCAAUGGCGAAGGCAGCCUGCUGGACAUUUACUGACGCUGAGGUACGAAGGCUAGGGGAGCGAAAGGGAUUAGAUACCCCAGUAGUCC
Molecule: ribosomal RNA, 274 nt
Filed under: uncultured bacterium
Lineage: Bacteria
Description: partial 16S ribosomal RNA
Rfam family: Bacterial small subunit ribosomal RNA
Source: RNAcentral